GGAGCAUAGUUCUGACUUGGAGAGGGCAUAUUUGGGUUCUGAUAAUGGUUUCCACCAGAUGUAUUUGAAGCAUAGUUCUGGUUUGGUCCUGGACCUGUUUGGUAAGGCAUGCCCCCAUUGUUUGGUCCACCAUUAUAUUGAUUGUUUGGUGCUCCACCGUAGUUAUUGGGAGGCGCUCCACCAUAGUUUCUGGGAGGCCCUCCACCAUAGUUAGGCGGUGCACCUCCCAUGUUGGGCUGCAUGUUGGGUGGCCCUCCCAUGCCAGGCUGGUGCAUCCCGCCCAUGUUGGGCUGCUGCUGCUGCAUACCUCCCAUGUUCGGCUGCUGCUGCUGCAUACCUCCCAUGUUAGGUUGCUGCUGCUGCACUCCACUCAUGUUAGGCUGCUGCUGCUGCAUUCCACCCAUGUUAGGGGGUGGUGCAUUUCUCAUAUUGGGAGGUCCACCACCCAUAUUGGAUCCAGGGUUCUGCAUCUCUCUUCUUCUCUCAAAAUUUCUGGACCUAUCAAAGUUACGAGGUCGGUCAUUACGUCUGUUUCUCUCAUUAGCUCGGGCAUUGUUCCUCACCCACUCCUCGUG
RNAcentral lists this long non-coding RNA (575 nucleotides) under Solanum tuberosum (potato). Its description in RNAcentral is "long non-coding RNA (STUB_LNC009542)". The record is from RNAcentral. Lineage: Eukaryota; Viridiplantae; Streptophyta; Magnoliopsida; Solanales; Solanaceae.